Molecule: ribosomal RNA, 301 nt
Filed under: uncultured bacterium
Lineage: Bacteria
Description: partial 16S ribosomal RNA
Rfam family: Bacterial small subunit ribosomal RNA
Source: RNAcentral
CAGCCGCCGCGGGAAUACGGAGGGGGCUAGCGUUGUUCGGAAUUACUGGGCGUAAAGCGCACGUAGGCGGCUUGGUAAGUUAGAGGUGAAAGCCUGGAGCUCAACUCCAGAAUUGCCUUUAAGACUGCCGAGCUAGCAGGUGAGAGAGGUAAGUGGAAUUCCGAGUGUAGAGGUGAAAUUCGUAGAUAUUCGGAAGAACACCAGUGGCGAAGGCGGCUUACUGGCUCAUACUGGACGCUGAGGUGCGAAAGCGUGGGGAGCAAACAGGAUUAGAGACCCGUGUAGUCCCUGUCUCUUAUAA